UAACGAAUCUUCCGCAAUGGGCGAAAGCCUGACGGAGCAAUGCCGCGUGCGGGAUGAAGCUUCUUCGAAGUGUAAACCGCUGUCAGGGUUUAGCAACAAUGAGCAGACCCAGAGGAAGGGCCGGCUAAUUCCGUGCCAGCAGCCGCGGUAAUACGGAAGGCCCGAGCGUUAAUCGGAAUCACUGGGCUUAAAGCGUGCGCAGGCGGACCGGCAGGCAUCUCGUGAAAUCCCACAGCUCAACUGUGGAACUGCGGGGUGAACCGCCGGUCUUGAGGCAAGUAGGGGCUGACGGAACUAUGGGUGGAGCGGUGAAAUGCGUAGAUAUCCAUGGGAACGCCGAUGGCGAAGGCAGUCAGCUGGGCUUGACCUGACGCUCAGGUACGAAAGCGUGGGGAGCGAACGGGAUUAGAUACCCGUGUAGUCC
Molecule: ribosomal RNA, 424 nt
Filed under: uncultured prokaryote
Description: bacterial SSU rRNA
Rfam family: Bacterial small subunit ribosomal RNA
Source: RNAcentral